RNAcentral lists this ribosomal RNA (227 nucleotides) under uncultured bacterium. Its description in RNAcentral is "partial 16S ribosomal RNA". It matches the Rfam family "Archaeal small subunit ribosomal RNA", at positions 474 to 700 of the family's 1478-position model. The record is from RNAcentral.
AACCAGCACCCUCGAGUGGUCAGGAGGUUUAUUGGGCCUAAAGCAUCCGUAGCCGGUUGCAUAAGUUUUCGGUUAAAUCUAUGCGCUCAACGUAUAGGCCGCCGAAAAUACUGUGCAGCUAGGGAGUGGGAGAGGUACACGGUACUCAAUAGGAAGGGUAAAUACCUUUGUAUCUAUUGAUGACCACCUGUGGCGAAGGCGGUGUACCAGAACACGUUCGACGGUGA